Molecule: ribosomal RNA, 234 nt
Filed under: uncultured Pseudomonadales bacterium
Lineage: Bacteria; Pseudomonadati; Pseudomonadota; Gammaproteobacteria; Pseudomonadales
Description: partial 16S ribosomal RNA
Rfam family: Bacterial small subunit ribosomal RNA
Source: RNAcentral
CGGCGGACGGGUGAGUAAUGCUUAGGAAUCUGCCUAUUAUGGGGGACAACAUCUCGAAAGGGAUGCUAAUACCGCAUACGUCCUACGGGAGAAAGCAGGGGACCUUCGGGCAUUGCGCUAAUAGAUGAGCCUAAGUCGGAUUAGCUAGUUGGUGGGGUAAAGGCCUACCAAGGCGACGAUCCGUAGCGGGUCUGAGAGGAUGAUCCGCCACACUGGGACUGAGACACGGCCCAG